UCCAACAACAAUUCAAGAAUCAUGCAGAUUGAGGGAGUGCCCCACAUGUAGACAAAAUUGAGAGAUUGAUGGAUGGAAAAUAACCUACCACUACCAAAGCAUCUGGCCAGCUGCGUAUGAAGACAAAGAUGGAAAAGCAAUAAUAGAAAAGCAUCUAGCCAGCUACAUAUGAAGCCAAAGAUGACAAGGCAAUAAUAGAAGAAAAGAUGCCACUUUGAUGAAAAAGCAAAAAAUGCAUGUGAAGAUGUAGAC
This 252-nucleotide long non-coding RNA is filed under the name Olea europaea (common olive). RNAcentral's name for it is "long non-coding RNA (OEUR_LNC015575)". Lineage: Eukaryota; Viridiplantae; Streptophyta; Magnoliopsida; Lamiales; Oleaceae. The record is from RNAcentral.